UGCAAGUCGAACGAUGAACCACUUCGGUGGGGAUUAGUGGCGAACGGGUGAGUAACACGUGGGCAAUCUGCCCUUCACUCUGGGACAAGCCCUGGAAACGGGGUCUAAUACCGGAUAUGAGCCUGGGAGGCAUCUCCCGGGUUGUAAAGCUCCGGCGGUGAAGGAUGAGCCCGCGGCCUAUCAGCUUGUUGGUGAGGUAACGGCUCACCAAGGCGACGACGGGUAGCCGGCCUGAGAGGGCGACCGGCCACACUGGGACUGAGACACGGCCCAGACUCCUACGGGAGGCAGCAGUGGGGAAUAUUGCACAAUGGGCGAAAGCCUGAUGCAGCGACGCCGCGUGAGGGAUGACGGCCUUCGGGUUGUAAACCUCUUUCAGCAGGGAAGAAGCGCAAGUGACGGUACCUGCAGAAGAAGCGCCGGCUAACUACGUGCCAGCAGCCGCGGUAAUACGUAGGGCGCAAGCGUUGUCCGGAAUUAUUGGGCGUAAAGAGCUCGUAGGCGGCUUGUCACGUCGGGUGUGAAAGCCCGGGGCUUAACCCCGGGUCUGCAUUCGAUACGGGCAGGCUAGAGUGUGGUAGGGGAGAUCGGAAUUCCUGGUGUAGCGGUGAAAUGCGCAGAUAUCAGGAGG
RNAcentral lists this ribosomal RNA (631 nucleotides) under Streptomyces sp. ANA1902. Its description in RNAcentral is "bacterial SSU rRNA". It matches the Rfam family "Bacterial small subunit ribosomal RNA", at positions 56 to 704 of the family's 1533-position model. The record is from RNAcentral. Lineage: Bacteria; Bacillati; Actinomycetota; Actinomycetes; Kitasatosporales; Streptomycetaceae.